CUGGGAGGACCAUCUCCUAAGGCUAAAUACUCUCUAGUGACCGAUAGUGAACCAGUACCGUGAGGGAAAGGUGAAAAGCACCCCGGAAGGGGAGUGAAAUAGAACCUGAAACCGUGUGCUUACAAGUAGUCAGAGCCCGUUAAUGGGUGAUGGCGUGCCUUUUGUAGAAUGAACCGGCGAGUUACGAUUUGAUGCAAGGUUAAGCAGUAAAUGUGGAGCCGUAGCGAAAGCGAGUCUGAAUAGGGCGUUUAGUAUUUGGUCGUAGACCCGAAACCAGGUGAUCUACCCUUGGUCAGGUUGAAGUUCAGGUAACACUGAAUGGAGGACCGAACCGACUUACGUUGAAAAGUGAGCGGAUGAACUGAGGGUAGCGGAGAAAUUCCAAUCGAACCUGGAGAUAGCUGGUUCUCUCCGAAAUAGCUUUAGGGCUAGCCUCAAGUGAUGAUUAUUGGAGGUAGAGCACUGUUUGGACGAGGGGCCCCUCUCGGGUUACCGAAUUCAGACAAACUCCGAAUGCCAAUUAAUUUAACUUGGGAGUCAGAACAUGGGUGAUAAGGUCCGUGUUCGAAAGGGAAACAGCCCAGACCACCAGCUAAGGUCCCAAAAUAUAUGUUAAGUGGAAAAGGAUGUGGCGUUGCCCAGACAACUAGGAUGUUGGCUUAGAAGCAGCCAUCAUUUAAAGAGUGCGUAAUAGCUCACUAGUCGAGUGACACUGCGCCGAAAAUGUACCGGGGCUAAACAU
This 742-nucleotide ribosomal RNA is filed under the name Staphylococcus aureus. RNAcentral's name for it is "partial 23S ribosomal RNA". It matches the Rfam family "Bacterial large subunit ribosomal RNA", at positions 444 to 1189 of the family's 2925-position model. The record is from RNAcentral. Lineage: Bacteria; Bacillati; Bacillota; Bacilli; Caryophanales; Staphylococcaceae.